GACGAACGCUGGCGGCGUGCCUAAUACAUGCAAGUAGAACGCACAGUUUAUACCGUAGCUUGCUACACCAUAAACUGUGAGUUGCGAACGGGUGAGUAACGCGUAGGUAACCUGCCUGGUAGCGGGGGAUAACUAUUGGAAACGAUAGCUAAUACCGCAUAAUAUUAAUUAUUGCAUGAUAAUUGAUUGAAAGAUGCAAUUGCAUCACUACCAGAUGGACCUGCGUUGUAUUAGCUAGUAGGUGAGGUAACGGCUCACCUAGGCGACGAUACAUAGCCGACCUGAGAGGGUGAUCGGCCACACUGGGACUGAGACACGGCCCAGACUCCUACGGGAGGCAGCAGUAGGGAAUCUUCGGCAAUGGACGAAAGUCUGACCGAGCAACGCCGCGGGAGUGAAGAAGGUUUUCGGAUCGUAAAGCUCUGUUGUAAGAGAAGAACGGGUGUGAGAGUGGAAAGUUCACACUGUGACGGUAUCUUACCAGAAAGGGACGGCUAACUACGUG
This 505-nucleotide ribosomal RNA is filed under the name uncultured bacterium. RNAcentral describes it as "partial 16S ribosomal RNA". It matches the Rfam family "Bacterial small subunit ribosomal RNA", at positions 28 to 507 of the family's 1533-position model. The record is from RNAcentral.